AUUGGUGAGUUCAUCUCCAAUG
This 22-nucleotide microRNA is filed under the name Drosophila ananassae. RNAcentral describes it as "Dan-Mir-976_5p* (star (passenger))". Lineage: Eukaryota; Metazoa; Arthropoda; Insecta; Diptera; Drosophilidae. The record is from RNAcentral.